CACGUAGGGGACGAGCGUUGUCCGGAUUCAUUGGCGUAAAGCGCGCGUAGGCGGCUCGGAAAGUCGGUCGUGAAAUGCCGGGGCUCAACCCCGGGACUGCGUCCGAUACUUCCGGGCUGGAGGUAGGUAGGGGAGAUCGGAAUUCCUGGUGUAGCGGUGAAAUGCGCAGAUAUCAGGAGGAACACCGGUGGCGAAGGCGGAUCUCUGGGCCAUUACUGACGCUGAGGAGCGAAAGCGUGGGGAGCGAACAGGA
Molecule: ribosomal RNA, 253 nt
Filed under: uncultured bacterium
Lineage: Bacteria
Description: partial 16S ribosomal RNA
Rfam family: Bacterial small subunit ribosomal RNA
Source: RNAcentral